Molecule: unclassified non-coding RNA, 217 nt
Filed under: plant metagenome
Description: partial contains small subunit ribosomal RNA, internal transcribed spacer 1, and 5.8S ribosomal RNA
Source: RNAcentral
UCUCCGUAGGUGAACCUGCGGAGGGAUCAUUACAAGUGACCCCGGUCUAACCACCGGGAUGUUCAUAACCCUUUGUUGUCCGACUCUGUUGCCUCCGGGGCGACCCUGCCUUCGGGCGGGGGCUCCGGGUGGGCACUUCAAACUCUUGCGUAACUUUGCAGUCUGAGUAAACUUAAUUAAUAAAUUAAAACUUUUAACAACGGAUCUCUUGGUUCUG